This 1531-nucleotide long non-coding RNA is filed under the name Scleropages formosus (Asian bonytongue). RNAcentral's name for it is "lncRNA (ENSSFOG00015028223.1)". The record is from RNAcentral. Lineage: Eukaryota; Metazoa; Chordata; Actinopteri; Osteoglossiformes; Osteoglossidae.
AUUAAUUCCAGAGGAAGUGGUUUCUGAUAAGACAGAAGUCUAUGGAGAACAAUCCGAGUUGUCUCCCAUUACUGUAGAUGUUCAACAUGAAAGAAUAUCAGAAGCUGCUGAUCAGAUACAUUCUGUGGAGGUCAUGAUUAGUGAAGAACCUUCUUUUGAAGAAACAGUUGUUGGAAAACUUCCAGUGAUCUCUGUUAUGAUUUCCACUCAAGAGGCUGAAGUGUCAGAAGAAGUGCCACAGAGAAUCCCAUCUCCAAAAGCAUCUCCUAGUCUAAAGGAGGCUGAAGGAAUAUUAGAAAAGGCACCACAGAGAAUCCCAUCUCCAAAAACAUUCAUUCUAGAUAAGGCUGAAGAAAUUUCAGAAGAAACGCCACAGAAAAUCACAUCUCCAGAAACAUCUCCAAGUCUAAAGGAGGCUGAAGGAAUGUUAGAAGAAGCACUACAGAAAUUCACAUCUCCAAGAACACCUCCCAGUAUAGAAGAAGGUGAGGGAAUUUCAGAAGAAGCACUACAGAAAAUCACGUCUCCAAGAACAUCUCUUACUCUAGAGGAAGCCAAAGGACUAUCAGAAGAAGCACCACUAAGAAUCACAUCUCCAAAAGCAUCUCCUAGUGUAAAGGAGGCCGAAGAAAUAUCAGAAGAAAUUUCACAGAGAAUCCCAUCUCCAAAAGCAGCUCUGAAAGCACCUUUUGAAAAAGAUGAAUUCCAGGAACCUAAGGAUGUGUCACCCAAGCCCAGCAUGGACGAGAUUCCUUCUGAAGAAAUAAUUCCUGCAGAAGUAGUUUCUGAAGAAGCACAACUUCAUAAGGAAGCUUCAUUGGAAGAAAAGCUGUAUUCAGCACAUGCUUUUAAAGACUUUGUGCAGACAUGCUUGAAGAAAGUGGCUGAUGCAAUCAGACAUACAAGAACUCAUGUCAGUGAUAAAGAUUAUUCAGAAAGUGCAGAUGGGGAAGAGGAACCCAGAAAGCUCUCCAGCAGAAUUCCAAGUCAAGAGCGAGCUGAGGGAAGGGAAGAAGAAACCCCGGAGGAAAUUGUGCCUACAAUUGCUCCUGAGCCGUCUGUUACAUCAGGUAACUUUGUGACUGCAGAAAUUAUCCUUUGGAUUCAUUUAAACAAAUACUGAAAAGCUAAACAGCUAAAUGGCACUUUUUAUUUUAGCUACAGGUGAUUUUCAGCAGUCUCAGGAUGUUUCUUUAAGGUCCAGCGCAGUCGAGCUUUCUUCUGCUGCUAAGGACAGUUCUGCAGCUUUAUCAGGUGAAAAGGUUCUUGAUUUAACGGUGUUGCAUAGCAUUCCAUCACCAUCUUGCAAGCCAUUUUGCUUUCCUUCCUUUACAGUGUCUUUAGAAGAAGUACGCGUAAGUGUUCCUGUCAGCUCUUCAAGAGAUGUCAGUGAAGGAGCGCUUUCUGUGUCAGCAGGUGUGGUUGCAGAAGAGGAGGGUGUAGAAAAGGAAGUAGAAACAACAGAGAAAGCUACAUCUCCUGCUGUCUCUCCAAAACCAUCAUUUGCUCCAGGUAUGAGGAGCUAAUGGGU